RNAcentral lists this ribosomal RNA (433 nucleotides) under uncultured bacterium. RNAcentral's name for it is "partial 16S ribosomal RNA". It matches the Rfam family "Bacterial small subunit ribosomal RNA", at positions 29 to 507 of the family's 1533-position model. The record is from RNAcentral.
AACGAACGCUGGCGGCAUGCCUAACACAUGCAAGUCGAACGAGACCUUCGGGUCUAGUGGCGCACGGGUGCGUAACGCGUGGGAACCUGCCCUUAGGUUCGGAAUAACUCAGAGAAAUUUGAGCUAAUACCGGAUGAUUUCUUCGGACCAAAGAUUUAUCGCCUUUAGAUGGGCCCGCGUUGGAUUAGCUAGUUGGUGGGGUAAAGGCCUACCAAGGCGACGAUCCAUAGCUGGGCUGAGAGGAUGGUCAGCCACACUGGGACUGAGACACGGCCCAGACUCCUGCGGAAGGCAGCAGUGGGGGAUAUUGGAAAAUGGGCGGAGGCCUGAUCCAGCAAUGCCGCGUGAGUGAUGAAGGCCGUAGAGUUGUAAAGCUCUUUUACCCGAGAUGAUAAUGACGGUAUCGGGAGAAUAAGCUCCGGCUAACUCCGUG